GAAAUGCGAUAAGUAAUGUGAAUUGCAGAAUUCAGUGAAUCAUCGAAUCUUUGAACGCACAUUGCGCCCGCCAGUAUUCUGGCGGGCAUGCCUGUUCGAGCGUCAUUUCAACCAUCAAGCCCCCGGCUUGUGUUGGGGACCUGCGGCUGCCCGCAGGCCCUGAAAAACAGUGGCGGGCUCGCUGUCACACCGAGCGUAGUAGCAUACAUUCUCGCUCAGGGCGUGCUGCGGGUUCCGGCCGUUAAACGACCUUCAUAACCCAAGGUUGACCUCGGAUCAGGUAGGAAGACCCGCUGAACUUAACC
This 305-nucleotide unclassified non-coding RNA is filed under the name plant metagenome. RNAcentral describes it as "partial contains 5.8S ribosomal RNA, internal transcribed spacer 2, and large subunit ribosomal RNA". The stretch from base 1 to 105 matches the Rfam family "5.8S ribosomal RNA", at positions 50 to 154 of the family's 154-position model. The record is from RNAcentral.